GGGAGCUUGCUCCCGGAUGUUAGCGGCGGACGGGUGAGUAACACGUGGGUAACCUGCCUGUAAGACUGGGAUAACUCCGGGAAACCGGAGCUAAUACCGGAUAGUUCCUUGAACCGCAUGGUUCAAGGAUGAAAGACGGUUUCGGCUGUCACUUACAGAUGGACCCGCGGCGCAUUAGCUAGUUGGUGAGGUAACGGCUCACCAAGGCGACGAUGCGUAGCCGACCUGAGAGGGUGAUCGGCCACACUGGGACUGAGACACGGCCCAGACUCCUACGGGAGGCAGCAGUAGGGAAUCUUCCGCAAUGGACGAAAGUCUGACGGAGCAACGCCGCGUGAGUGAUGAAGGUUUUCGGAUCGUAAAGCUCUGUUGUUAGGGAAGAACAAGUGCAAGAGUAACUGCUUGCACCUUGACGGUACCUAACCAGAAAGCCACGGCUAACUACGUGCCAGCAGCCGCGGUAAUACGUAGGUGGCAAGCGUUGUCCGGAAUUAUUGGGCGUAAAGGGCUCGCAGGCGGUUUCUUAAGUCUGAUGUGAAAGCCCCCGGCUCAACCGGGGAGGGUCAUUGGAAACUGGGAAACUUGAGUGCAGAAGAGGAGAGUGGAAUUCCACGUGUAGCGGUGAAAUGCGUAGAGAUGUGGAGGAACACCAGUGGCGAAGGCGACUCUCUGGUCUGUAACUGACGCUGAGGAGCGAAAGCGUGGGGAGCGAACAGGAUUAGAUACCCUGGUAGUCCACGCCGUAAACGAUGAGUGCUAAGUGUUAGG
This 768-nucleotide ribosomal RNA is filed under the name Bacillus pumilus. Its description in RNAcentral is "bacterial SSU rRNA". It matches the Rfam family "Bacterial small subunit ribosomal RNA", at positions 74 to 827 of the family's 1533-position model. Lineage: Bacteria; Bacillati; Bacillota; Bacilli; Caryophanales; Bacillaceae. The record is from RNAcentral.